GACGAACGCUGGCGGCGUGCUUAACACAUGCAAGUCGAACGAAGUGGCGAACGGGUGAGUAAUACGUGAGUAACCUGCCCUCCUUUUUGGGAUAAGCCUUGGAAACGGGGUCUAAUACCGAAUAAAGGGGGAUGGGCUCGCGGCCUAUCAGCUUGUGGGUGGGGUGAUGGCCUCCAAAGGCGGGGACGGGUAGCCGGCCUGGGAGGGUGACCGGCCACAGUGUGCCGGGGGUACGGCCCAGACGCGUACCGGAGUCAGCAGUGGGGGAUAUUGCACAAUGGGCGAAAGCCGGAUGCCGCGACUCCGCGUGGGGGAUGAAGGCUUUCGGGUUGUAAGCCUCUUUCGCUAUCGACAGGGUAGGUGGAGAAGAAGCGCCGGCUAACUACGUGCCAGCAGCCGCGGUAAUUC
This 408-nucleotide ribosomal RNA is filed under the name uncultured bacterium. Its description in RNAcentral is "partial 16S ribosomal RNA". It matches the Rfam family "Bacterial small subunit ribosomal RNA", at positions 28 to 526 of the family's 1533-position model. The record is from RNAcentral.